CCUGGCUCAGGAUGAACGCUAGCGGCAGGCUUAACACAUGCAAGUCGAGGGGCAGCGGGGAGGAAGCUUGCUUUCUCCGCCGGCGACCGGCGCACGGGUGAGUAACACGUAUGCAACCUGCCCCUGUCAGGGGGACAACCCGCCGAAAGGCGGGCUAAACCCGCGUACAUGCCACCGGGGCAUCCCGGAGGCAGGAAAGGCUUCGGCCGGACAGGGAUGGGCAUGCGGCGCAUUAGGCAGUAGGCGGGGUAACGGCCCACCUAACCGACGAUGCGUAGGGGUUCUGAGAGGAAGGUCCCCCACACUGGUACUGAGACACGGACCAGACUCCUACGGGAGGCAGCAGUGAGGAAUAUUGGUCAAUGGUCGGGAGACUGAACCAGCCAAGCCGCGUGAGGGAGGAAGGUACAGAGUAUCGUAAACCUCUUUUGUCAGGGAACAAAGGCGGGGACGUGUCCCCGGAUGAGUGUACCUGAAGAAAAAGCAUCGGCUAACUCCGUGCCAGCAGCCGCGGUAAUACGGAGGAUGCGAGCGUUAUCCGGAUUUAUUGGGUUUAAAGGGUGCGCAGGCGGUCUGUUAAGUCAGCGGUCAAAGCCCGGGGCUCAACCCCGGCCCGCCGUUGAAACUGGCAGUCUCGAGUUGGAGAGAAGUAUGCGGAAUGCGCGGUGUAGCGGUGAAAUGCAUAGAUAUCGCGCAGAACUCCGAUUGCGAAGGCAGCAUGCCGGCUCCACACUGACGCUGAGGCACGAAAGCGUGGGUAUCGAACAGGAUUAGAUACCCUGGUAGUCCACGCAGUAAACGAUGAAUGCUGGCUGUCCGGGGGGACUGACCCCUGGGUGGCGAAGCGAAAGCGAUAAGCAUUCCACCUGGGGAGUACGCCGGCAACGGUGAAACUCAAAGGAAUUGACGGGGGCCCGCACAAGCGGAGGAACAUGUGGUUUAAUUCGAUGAUACGCGAGGAACCUUACCCGGGCUCAAACGGGGAGUGGCGCAGGCAGAGACGCCUGUUUCCCACGGGACACUCCCCGAGGUGCUGCAUGGUUGUCGUCAGCUCGUGCCGUGAGGUGUCGGCUUAAGUGCCAUAACGAGCGCAACCCCCGCGUGCAGUUGCUAACAGUCAACGCUGAGGACUCUGCACGGACUGCCGGCGCAAGCCGCGAGGAAGGCGGGGAUGACGUCAAAUCAGCACGGCCCUUACGUCCGGGGCGACACACGUGUUACAAUGGGUGGUACAGCGGGAAGCCAGGCGGCGACGCCGAGCGGAACCCGAAAUCCACUCUCAGUUCGGAUCGGAGUCUGCAACCCGACUCCGUGAAGCUGGAUUCGCUAGUAAUCGCGCAUCAGCCAUGGCGCGGUGAA
RNAcentral lists this ribosomal RNA (1359 nucleotides) under uncultured bacterium. RNAcentral's name for it is "bacterial SSU rRNA". It matches the Rfam family "Bacterial small subunit ribosomal RNA", at positions 18 to 1366 of the family's 1533-position model. The record is from RNAcentral.